Molecule: ribosomal RNA, 253 nt
Filed under: uncultured bacterium
Lineage: Bacteria
Description: partial 16S ribosomal RNA
Rfam family: Bacterial small subunit ribosomal RNA
Source: RNAcentral
UACGUAGGGGGCAAGCGUUAUCCGGAAUUACUGGGUGUAAAGGGAGCGUAGACGGUAAUGUAAGUCUGGAGUGAAAGGCGGGGGCCCAACCCCCGGACUGCUCUGGAAACUAUGUUACUAGAGUGCAGGAGAGGUAAGCGGAAUUCCUAGUGUAGCGGUGAAAUGCGUAGAUAUUAGGAGGAACACCAGUGGCGAAGGCGGCUUACUGGACUGUAACUGACGUUAAGGCUCGAAAGCGUGGGGAGCAAACAGG